RNAcentral lists this ribosomal RNA (872 nucleotides) under uncultured organism. RNAcentral describes it as "bacterial SSU rRNA". It matches the Rfam family "Bacterial small subunit ribosomal RNA", at positions 585 to 1433 of the family's 1533-position model. The record is from RNAcentral.
AAGUGUCCUGUGAAAGCGCACGGCUCAACCGUGGAAUUGCAAGGGCAACUGCCUGGCAUGAGUUCGGUAGAGGGGCCUGGAACUCUCGGUGGAACGGUGAAAUGCGUAGAUAUCGAGAGGGAAUGCCGGAGGCGAAAACGGGGCACUGGGCCGACACUGACGCUGAGACCCGAAAGCGUGGGGGAGCAAAACAGGAAUUAGAAUACCCCUGGGUAGUCCAACGCCCGUUAAACGAUGCAACACUAGACGUCGGGAGGUUCUGACACCAUCGGCGUCGCAGCAAAAGUACUAAGUGUGCCGCCUGGGGAGUACGGCCGCAAGGCUAAAACUCAAAGGAAUUGACGGGGGCUCACACAAACGGUGGAGCAUGCGGCUUAAUUCGAAGCAACGCGAAGAACCUUACCCGGGUUUGACAUGCUUGGAUGCUCUCUGGGGAUAACUCAGAGUUGCUGCCCUUCGGGGUGAAACUUGCACAGGUGUUGCAUGGCUGUCGUCAGCUCGUGCUGUGAAGUGUCGGGUUAAGUCCCUUAACGAGCGAAACCCCUAUCGCUAGUUGCCAGCGGGUCAUGCCGGGGACUCUAGCGAGACUGCCGGCGUUAAGCCGGAGGAAGGUGGGGACGACGUCAAGUCAUCAUGGCCUUUAUGCCCGGGGAUGCACACGUGCUACAAUGGCGUGUACAGAGCGACGCGAGACCGCGAGGUGGAGCAAAUCGCAAAAAGCACGCCCCAGUUCGGAUUGGAGUCUGCAAUUCGACUCCAUGAAGUUGGAAUCGCUAGUAAUCGUGCAUCAGCUACGGCGCGGCGAUAUGUUCCUGAGCCUUGUACACACCGCCCGUCAAGUCAUGGAAGCUGGUAGUACCCGAAGUCCGCUU